RNAcentral lists this long non-coding RNA (579 nucleotides) under Homo sapiens (human). RNAcentral describes it as "HSALNT0409434". Lineage: Eukaryota; Metazoa; Chordata; Mammalia; Primates; Hominidae. The record is from RNAcentral.
GGGCCAGAGCUUCUCAUGCAGCCUGCACCAGCGCCGGGUCGGAGAGUCAGAGGCCACCCUGAGAUGGACCGAGAUCUUCAGUUGGGGAGGCGCCUCCGGAAACACAAAGAUGGUGCAGACCCAGGCCCUGCUUUGACUGGGAGAAAGAUGCAUUCAGUUGACUAAAACUUGAAGCUUGGUGGCAUGCAUGUUUAGUCCCAGCUACACAGCAGGGAGGCUGAGGCUGAAGGAAUACUUGAGCCCAGGAAUUCAAGACUAGCCUGCACAACAUAGUGAGACCCUGACUUUAAAAUAAAUUUAAAAAAAUUAAAAGCAACAAGACUUUCUGCUUGUAUAUGAUGAUGUUAGUAUGCUGACUUACAAGGUUAGAUCAUUUUGAUAUGUGUGAUGUAGGUUUUCAAAGCUGGCACUGUUUUAUGCUUCAAAUAUUAUUUUUAUUCAUUGGUUCUCAUGGGAUUUCAUCACUAAGCUGUAAAUCAAUAAUCAUAAUGUUGAGGGGAGGGGAUUACAAAAUAGCUCUUCAAAAUCAUCUUUGCAUUUCUCAAUAAACAGCAUUCCCUUUUGGACUACAGUGAAAAA